KUCGAAUCCUUCCGUCCCAG
This 20-nucleotide transfer RNA is filed under the name Scrophularia koraiensis. Its description in RNAcentral is "partial tRNA-Gln". Lineage: Eukaryota; Viridiplantae; Streptophyta; Magnoliopsida; Lamiales; Scrophulariaceae. The record is from RNAcentral.